RNAcentral lists this ribosomal RNA (483 nucleotides) under uncultured bacterium. RNAcentral's name for it is "partial 16S ribosomal RNA". It matches the Rfam family "Bacterial small subunit ribosomal RNA", at positions 30 to 506 of the family's 1533-position model. The record is from RNAcentral.
AUUGAACGCUAGCGGGAUGCUUUACACAUGCCAGUCGAACGGCAGCGCGGACUUCGGUCUGGCGGCGAGUGGCGAACGGGUGAGUAAUUUAUCGGAACGUGCCCAGUAGCGGGGGAUAACUACGCGAAAGCGUAGCUAAUACCGCAUACGCCCUACGGGGGAAAGCAGGGGAUCGUAAGACCUUGCACUAUUGGAGCGGCCGAUAUCGGAUUAGCUAGUUGGUGAGGUAACGGCUCACCAAGGCGACGAUCCGUAGCUGGUUUGAGAGGACGACCAGCCACACUGGGACUGAGACACGGCCCAGACUCCUACGGGAGGCAGCAGUGGGGAAUUUUGGACAAUGGGGGCAACCCUGAUCCAGCCAUCCCGCGUGUGCGAUGAAGGCCUUCGGGUUGUAAAGCACUUUUGGCAGGAAAGAAACGUAGCGGGCUAAUACCCCGUGGAACUGACGGUACCUGCAGAAUAAGCACCGGCUAACUACGU